This is a non-coding RNA of Pelobates cultripes (western spadefoot toad), 1249 nucleotides long. NCBI's taxonomy places the organism in Eukaryota, Metazoa, Chordata, Amphibia, Anura, Pelobatidae. The record is from the annotation of a GenBank genome assembly.
CUAUAAAACCCACCAGAGAUAAGAGAGAGAGAUAAUGCAUCCUGCAGUGUAUCUACUUAUGUGAAUGCACAACCCAUUGUCACAAUAGAGCUCUUUCCAUUUACAUAUCAUAUUGGAGAUGAUAUACUCUAACAAUCAAUGACUUCAAGUAACAACACAUACCAACCUGAUUAAAAAUGCAUACUAUAGAAAACACACAAUACAAUAAUAAAUGGGUGAAUUAAUACAUUUUCCAUGGCAGUACCCCAUGAUGAUUGGUUUCGGAAGUGAGUUUUUAUUUUUUUUAUUUCUUCCACCAGGUAGUACUAGCCAUGUCAGUAAAUAAAUGUUCAGUUAGUUAAAGUUCUUGUUGUUGAUGAAAGAACUCAGCACAGGUUUGUUGAUCCUUCUGUGUCCAAUCCUCCAUUAAAGUAUUGAUAGUUCUCUGAAUUUAACACCCUCAGACUGGAGUAUUGCAGUCAUACUAUAUAUAUCAAUUAUAUUUACAAAACCCAACCCAGUACCCACACCUCCCAGAACCGUACCCAAGACAACCCUCCUAUUCCUAGUUCUACUUCUUGUCACCCAUCUGACUAAAACCUUAUUAAUAGUGGAUGUGACCCUAGAACAGUUCUGAAAGUGUGAUGAAACUAGCCAAUCUGUUAGUCGAAUCAAUUGGAAAGUAACAACUAUAGGGAUAGGUCUCAGUGAACAUAUUUGGAAAUUACCACUAGAGACCACUCUAAUCUUCUGACACUCAGGUCUGCUACCAUUAUCCAUUAGUGAAGGAGUUGUAUGAAUAUAGGUGAAAGGAGGAGUCAGGAUUGUAGACUCUAUCUCUUCCUCUACAUUCAACAAGACCUUCACUUCCCCACCCCUAUUGUGUCUUACUGUUCCCCAAUUUAUCCCCUUUAUGAUUAAUGUAUCCACUAUAAUUAGUGUUAUAUGAUACUCUCUAAGAUUGUUAUUAACAUUAUAACUAGGGUUAGUAACAUUUCAUAACAUUUCAUUUCAUAUUAAUAUUUCCUCCCUCCAUAUCUACAACCAGUUUUCCCCAACCAGUCCAUAUUCAUUCCCAUUUUCCUCAACCAGACCAUAUACAUUCCCAUUUUCCUCAGCCAGUCCAUAUACAUUCCCAAUGUUCUUAAUUUCCCUUAUUGUCUUUUCCAAAAUCCCUUGAAAGAAUCACGUUGCUUUAGCCAAACAAUCUUGACCGCCCACCCAAAAUUAAAUGUCACAUCUACAUAUGGAACUUGUAGAUUGUCACUGC